Molecule: ribosomal RNA, 345 nt
Filed under: Triticum aestivum (bread wheat)
Lineage: Eukaryota; Viridiplantae; Streptophyta; Magnoliopsida; Poales; Poaceae
Description: partial small subunit ribosomal RNA
Source: RNAcentral
AUGCCUGUAGUACGCACAGGCUGUAGUCAUUGGCUUGACAAAACAGUUGUGCAGGUAAGCUCACUUAUGGGCUGCUCCGAGCUGGUGGAUGAGAUCAAGCCUCGCUGGUUGUCCAACAGAAAAAGGGUUCCGGUGGGCUGCAGCGAAAUGCACCUGCAGAUAUAUUGGGAAGCCAUUCCAUCUAACUGUCCGUCCUUCAUGGAUAUCAUUACUGAAUUAGAGGUUUCCGGCAGCAGAUCAGAAGCAAGCAUGAAGAUGCUGUGGAGACAAGCCAAGAAGAAGGAACCGUCCAGGCAAUGCAGAGUGGCCCCUCUGCUCAUACUCCAUGACAGUUCUUCCCAUUAA